UGCUGCCAUGUCUGACACUGGGACUGGGGUACAUACAGCAGGGGCUCUGCUAAAGACUGUUGAAUGAAUAAAUGCGUGAGGCCUCAGUGGGCCUGAAGGUAUUAGCUAAACUUUCUACCCAUCAGGGUCUCAGGAUUCUGGGGCUAUGACCACUGCCACUACUAACAAUUUCUUCCACCAGCAGAAUAAGUAGCUCCCAAUUACUGAGCAUUUAGCGUGUGCCAGGCAUCGGGGUAAGCAUUUCUCUGUGCCAUCUUGCUCCCACCUUUCACCCAUCCUAUGGGGUGGGUGUUCUGUGAGUGUCCUCAUAUCACAGGUGGGGAAAUGAGCUCCACCGGGAGCCGUGGUAGAACCUGCACUGGCCCAUCAGAGCUCACAGCCUUUUUCCACGCCAAGUGAGGGUGGGUGGUUGGAGCCCAGAACAGGGGGCACCUGUCAUCCCUUCCAGAAUUUGCCUUUUUCCAUUGCCUCCCUGUAGAACUUCUCUCCUCCCUUGAAGACUUUGCUUCUCCUAGAACCUCUCUCAGACUCAUCAGUCUCCUUCCCAAGUUCCGUGCAACCUGGAAAUGUCAGUGUUCCCCAGAGGUCUGCCCUUAAACCUGCAGGCUGGUGGGGUGUCCUCACGGGUUCCUACCCACUGGGAAAGCCUUUCCCUGGAAGAUGCUGGGUCUUCAUCUGCUCCCACGUCUGGAGGUGAGUGGGUGUCGAGGAACCGCCAGGCAGCGGAGAAAACAGGACGCCGCAGAAAUCAGAUUACUCACCUGCAGCUGUGACUACCCAGGGCUAAUAAAAGCUGAGCUUCCUGUUGU
Long non-coding RNA from Bos taurus (domestic cattle), 809 nucleotides. The record is from Ensembl. Lineage: Eukaryota; Metazoa; Chordata; Mammalia; Artiodactyla; Bovidae.